GUGAUCGUCGACUCAGCUGACCCGGUCGGAACGGAAAAAGAGAUUCCCGGACCCCGGCUUCUUGGCGCGAUGAGGUUCCGGUUCUGUGGUGAUCUGGACUGUCUCGACUGGGACCUGGCAGGGAUCAGCACGCUGGCCAAGAUGGCUGAGUGCACAGGGUCUACUCUGGGUGGAGGAGGGGUGCUGGGUCUGGGAAUUGCGGGUGUAGGGGAUGGUGAGGUUUCUCUGGGGCUAGGGCUUCAGUGCUGUCAGCCUGUACUACCAUGCUUUGUGACCUUGAUCAGUGGCUGGCCUGCUCUGAGCCAGUCCCCAGGAAGGAGGGGUGAGGUUUGCCAGCCUGGCUGGUGUAAGGACUUCCUUCGCAGUCCUCUGUGAAGUUGCAGCUGCUCUGCAGCCAGGUACUAAAGGAGCUGCUGGGAUAGGGGAAUGAUGAUCCAGGCUGGGGAUAAGGGGCUGGUGAGCAGGGGCCUGGCACC
This is a long non-coding RNA of Nomascus leucogenys (northern white-cheeked gibbon), 476 nucleotides long. RefSeq lists it as uncharacterized. The record is from RefSeq and is a predicted model, not a curated record. The transcript has 3 exons. NCBI's taxonomy places the organism in Eukaryota, Metazoa, Chordata, Mammalia, Primates, Hylobatidae.